UCUCCUGGAAACGGGUGGUAAUGCCGGAUGUUCCACAUGAUCGCAUGUGAUUGUGGGAAAGAUUCUAUCGGCGUGGGAUGGGGUCGCGUCCUAUCAGCUUGUUGGUGAGGUAACGGCUCACCAAGGCUUCGACGGGUAGCCGGCCUGAGAGGGCGACCGGCCACAUUGGGACUGAGAUACGGCCCAGACUCCUACGGGAGGCAGCAGUGGGGAAUAUUGCACAAUGGGCGCAAGCCUGAUGCAGCGACGCCGCGUGAGGGAUGGAGGCCUUCGGGUUGUAAACCUCUUUUGUUUGGGAGCAAGCCUUCGGGUGAGUGUACCUUUCGAAUAAGCGCCGGCUAACUACGUGCCAGCAGCCGCGGUAAUACGUAGGGCGCAAGCGUUAUCCGGAUUUAUUGGGCGUAAAGGGCUCGUAGGCGGCUCGUCGCGUCCGGUGUGAAAGUCCAUCGCUUAACGGUGGAUCUGCGCCGGGUACGGGCGGGCUGGAGUGCGGUAGGGGAGACUGGAAUUCCCGGUGUAACGGUGGAAUGUGUAGAUAUCGGAAA
Molecule: ribosomal RNA, 545 nt
Filed under: Bifidobacterium bifidum
Lineage: Bacteria; Bacillati; Actinomycetota; Actinomycetes; Bifidobacteriales; Bifidobacteriaceae
Description: bacterial SSU rRNA
Rfam family: Bacterial small subunit ribosomal RNA
Source: RNAcentral